AGAGUUUGAUCCUGGCUCAGAACGAACGCUGGCGGCAUGCUUAACACAUGCAAGUCGAACGAGGGCUUCGGCCCUAGUGGCGAACGGGUGAGUAACGCGUGGGAACCUGCCUUGGAGUGGGGGAUAACCACUGGAAACGGCGGCUAAUACCGCAUGUGCCCUGCGGGGCAAAGGCUUCGGCCGCUUUGAGAGGGGCCCGCGUCCGAUUAGCUAGUUGGUGGGGUAACGGCCUACCAAGGCUGCGAUCGGUAGCUGGUCUGAGAGGAUGAUCAGCCACACUGGGACUGCGACACGGCCCAGACUCCUACGGGAGGCAGCAGUGGGGAAUAUUGGACAAUGGGGGAAACCCUGAUCCAGCAAUGCCGCGUGCGUGACGAAGGCCUUCGGGUUGUAAAGCGCUUUCGCCCGCGACGAUGAUGACGGUAGCGGGAGAAGAAGCCCCGGCUAACUCCGUGCCAGCAGCCGCGGUAAUACGGAGGGGGCUAGCGUUGUUCGGAAUUACUGGGCGUAAAAGGGUGCGUAGGCGGCUAUCCAAGUCAGACGUGAAAGGCCUGGGCUCAACCCGGGAACUGCGUUUGAGACUGGGUGGCUGGAGUCCGGGAGAGGUGAGCGGAAUUCCCAGUGUAGAGGUGAAAUUCGUAGAUAUUGGGAAGAACACCGGUGGCGAAGGCGGCUCACUGGACCGGUACUGACGCUGAGGCACGAAAGCGUGGGGAGCAAACAGGAUUAGAUACCCUAGUAGUCC
Molecule: ribosomal RNA, 745 nt
Filed under: uncultured bacterium
Lineage: Bacteria
Description: bacterial SSU rRNA
Rfam family: Bacterial small subunit ribosomal RNA
Source: RNAcentral